GUUCACUUUAGGUUAUGCAUAUGCUAAAAUUAGAAUAAUAGAGAAAUGAGCAUCAUCCCUUGUACCAGGAAGAAAUGUAAAUUUGUGAAGAAAUUUAUAUUUUU
Suncus etruscus (white-toothed pygmy shrew) is the source of this 104-nucleotide small nuclear RNA. The record is from RefSeq and is a predicted model, not a curated record. NCBI's taxonomy places the organism in Eukaryota, Metazoa, Chordata, Mammalia, Eulipotyphla, Soricidae.